GACGAACGUUGGCGGCGUGCUUAACACAUGCAAGUCAAGGGGAAAGGUUGUCUUCGGACGGCCGAGUAUACUGGCGAACGGGUGAGUAACGCGUAGGUAACUUGCCUAUCAGUCUGGGAUAACACUGCUAACGCGGUGCUAAUACCGGGUAUACUGCAUAGCUCGCAUGUUUUUUGCAGGAAAGCGGGCCUCUGGAACAAGCUCGUGCUGAUAGAUAGACCUGCGUCCCAUUAGUUAGUUGGUAGGGUAACGGCCUACCAAGGCAGCGAUGGGUAGCCGGCCUGAGAGGGUGACCGGCCACACUGGGACUGAGAUACGGCCCAGACUCCUACGGGAGGCAGCAGUGAGGAAUAUUGCGCAAUGGACGAAAGUCUGACGCAGCAACGCCGCGUGAGGGAUGAAGCUUUUCGGAGUGUAAACCUCUGUUAGGAGGGAAGAACGUCUAUUAUUCGAACAGGGUGAUAGAGUGACGGUACCUCCAGAGAAAGCCCCGGCUAACUCCGUGCCAGCAGCCGCGGUAAUACGGGGGGGGCGAACGUUGUCCGGAAUUAUUGGGCGUAAAGGGCGCGUAGGCGGGAAGGUCAGUCAGAGGUGAAAGCUUGUGGCUUAACUGCAAGUUUGCCUUUGAUACUGCCAUUCUUGAAUUCGGAAGAGGGAAGUGGAAUUCCUGGUGUAGCGGUGAAAUGCGUAGAUAUCAGGAAGAACACCGGUGGCGAAGGCGGCUUCCUGGUCCGAUACUGACGCUGAUGCGCGAAAGCGUGGGGAGCAAACAGGAUUAGAUACCCUGGUAGUCCACGCUGUAAACGAUGGGUACUACGUGUUGGGUUUAAUUACUCAGCGCCGGAGCUAACGCAUUAAGUACCCCGGCUGGGGAGUACGAUCGCAAGAUUGAAACUCCAAGGAAUUGACGGGGUGCCGCACAAGCGGUGGAGCAUGU
RNAcentral lists this ribosomal RNA (937 nucleotides) under uncultured organism. Its description in RNAcentral is "bacterial SSU rRNA". It matches the Rfam family "Bacterial small subunit ribosomal RNA", at positions 28 to 942 of the family's 1533-position model. The record is from RNAcentral.